Molecule: unclassified non-coding RNA, 160 nt
Filed under: uncultured fungus
Lineage: Eukaryota; Fungi
Description: sequence contains ITS1
Source: RNAcentral
UCGAGAGUCUGUACCCCCUUUGCGGCGGUGUACAGCUCAUACCAUACCCUUAUUUAUGCGUACCCUUUGUUAUUUCCUCGGCGGGGACGCCCGUCGAUAGGAAGCCCACCAAAACCUAUUGCAUUAGCAUUAACACUUCUGAGCGUAACCUAAAUAUUUA